CCGGCUCCGGUUCACGUCCUACGCAUCCGCGCGGGGACGACCCGGCGGCA
Molecule: non-coding RNA, 50 nt
Filed under: unclassified sequences
Description: L31-Actinobacteria ribosomal protein leader
Rfam family: L31-Actinobacteria ribosomal protein leader
Source: RNAcentral